This 327-nucleotide ribosomal RNA is filed under the name uncultured eukaryote. Its description in RNAcentral is "partial 18S ribosomal RNA". It matches the Rfam family "Eukaryotic small subunit ribosomal RNA", at positions 1470 to 1796 of the family's 1831-position model. The record is from RNAcentral.
CCCCUAGAUGUUCUGGGCCGCACGCGCGCUACACUGACGAAUGCAACGAGCUUAUAACCUUGGCCGAAAGGUCUGGGUAAUCUCCAAAUUUCGUCGUGAUGGGGAUAGAUUAUUGCAAUUAUUAAUCUUCAACGAGGAAUGCCUAGUAAGCGCAAGUCAUCAGCUUGCGUUGAUUACGUCCCUGCCCUUUGUACACACCGCCCGUCGCUCCUACCGAUUGAAUGGUCCGGUGAAGCGUUCGGACCGUGGCCUCUGGACGGUUCGCCGUCUGUUGGCUGCGGGAAGUUCGUUAAACCUUAUCAUUUAGAGGAAGGUGAAGUCGUANCA